This 356-nucleotide long non-coding RNA is filed under the name Carica papaya (papaya). RNAcentral describes it as "long non-coding RNA (CPAP_LNC005542)". Lineage: Eukaryota; Viridiplantae; Streptophyta; Magnoliopsida; Brassicales; Caricaceae. The record is from RNAcentral.
GAUUUAUAAAUUAAUUUAGAUGUCUUAAUUAUUUGUAAACAAAUAAUUAUCAUGUCACAAGAGAUGUAUAUUAAAGUGUAGUUCUGUUGCAUAUUUAAUAUUUAUCUAUUUUACUUGUUGGAAGUAUUGUGCUAAUGUCCGUACCCACUAAUAUUUGAGUUUGGGAUGUUACAGGUGGUAUCAAAGUACACGUUCCUUGGAACCAUCCCUUGUAACAUGAGGUAUAAGAACUUUAGGAGGCGUACGACAAACAUAAUUUAGGAGAAUGACUCUUAAGAAAUGAUUUGGACUUUCUUUGAAACAUUUUUCAAAUGAAAAUAGGAGAACAAUAUUCUACAAACCUAACGAUAUAAACC